RNAcentral lists this long non-coding RNA (947 nucleotides) under Brassica napus (rape). Its description in RNAcentral is "long non-coding RNA (BNAP_LNC006035)". Lineage: Eukaryota; Viridiplantae; Streptophyta; Magnoliopsida; Brassicales; Brassicaceae. The record is from RNAcentral.
AGAGGGCAUUAAAUUAAAUGCAAGUCCUUGCUUAGCAAAACCAACCUGGAUAUGAUCAGCUCCAAGUAGUCUCUGGUUACAUUUCAACGCUUCAUGAAGGUAUCUUAAAGCCACAUGGACAUUCCCCAAACCUUCUUCCAUCAUCGCUACAUUAAUAUAAGUGGCAGCAGUAUUUGGAUGUGACGGUCCACAUGUUAGAUGCAGAAGGUACAAUGCACGGUUGACAUACCUACAACAAGAAUAACAUGUUAGCAGAUGGGGAAAAAAUAAACUUUAGGCUUUAACUUUGAAUCAAAAUACUCAAGCCACGCAGCCGCAUCCUAACAUAGUUCUGGAAUGUAAGAAACUUUUAAACUGAAACUCCCUGUAAAUCGUAACUAAUUGAGCACCUGUGUCCGAAGAUCCUCAAGGCCUAAUUUUGCUUGUAGAAUCUGUAGAGUGGUCUGCUCAUGUUGGACGCUCAAGGAGUAUGCUUCCAUCAGAGAAAGAGCAAUAGCAAUGGCAUGGUAACUUGCAGCAGUCUGACAAAAAAGUAAGAUAAGUAAAUUUUUAUCUAAGGGCUUCAUUUUUCUUCCAACGUGAUAUUAACUGAUUAAGCUUAAGGCUUCAUCGCAUGGGAGGUCAGAAUUUAACUAUUAACUUUAGAUCCGGUCUGACUUACAGCCAACUAUUUACUUAUGUUAUCCUUUUUUCCGUGGUUUAUGGACGUCGGUUAGACAGAGGGCGUUAAAUUGCAACCAAUCAAGUGCUUAACAAAACCAACCUGGAUAUGAUCAGCUCCAAGUAGUCUCUGGUUACAUUUCAACGCUUCAUGAAGGUAUCUUAAAGCCACAUGGACAUUCCCCAAACCUUCUUCCAUCAUCGCUACAUUAAUAUAAGUGGCAGCAGUAUUUGGAUGUGACGGUCCACAUGUUAGAUGCAGAAGGUACAAUGCACGGUUGACAUAC